AGCCGUGUGAUAAAUACAUAGCGAACUAUUCUUUCGCCUUUUACUAAAGAAUACCGUGUAUUUGUCACAUUAAGCGGCGCCAAUUUUUUGAUUGGGCCUUACUUAUAGGGCCU
Cajanus cajan (pigeon pea) is the source of this 113-nucleotide non-coding RNA. NCBI's taxonomy places the organism in Eukaryota, Viridiplantae, Streptophyta, Magnoliopsida, Fabales, Fabaceae. The record is from Rfam.